ACUUUAGUAUGGUCCCUAAAAGGUGCCCCAGGCUGAGAUGAAUCAUAGCAGGUGCACAGCUGUGCUCUACUGAUGACUUUGCCUUUACAGCCUGCAGCAUCAUGGGGCCACACAGAUGCUUCAGUUCCAGCUGCUGGUGGGAGAAGGUCCAAGAUCUUGCCUCUGGCUUGGAGUCUUUCAGAAUGAUCGCCUGCAGAAGAACAAGAAGGCAAAGGCCACCAAAACGGCUUUUUGGCAUGAUUUACUUGCUGCAAUGCCUGUGACAAUGUGCAUUAAUUUCACUGGGGGUGAACAGAAAUGCACAGAGGCUAUUGAAUGUUGGGUUGUCCCUAGGCAUGUCUGAAUUGAAUCCCGAAGGACAUGACCUGGCCUUGGUAUCCACAGAGUGUUGGAGGUUGAGGUUCCAGGAUAAACCUGGGGUCAGCUUUAAUUCCUCAAGGGAGACUGGACUAGGUUCCUCUGGGAAAACACCCAGGCAGAAUAUGGGCUCCCAGGUUAUAAGGAUCCUUCAUAAAAGACAGAAGUCUCUUGAAGAAACUUAACCCCCAACAUAACCAACCUUACUAUAAUUUUUUAACCAUAAAUGAUUUAAAGAGCAGCUAGUCCAUAAUCUUAGCUUUUAUUAAAAAUAAGUUGUUGCUUUGUCAUGAAGACAUUAAUAAAACAUUUUCUUUUGUAGCAUAUUUUAAGCAAGUUACUUACAGCUCUCUGCCACAGUCUAGCAGGCUUCAUUUUGUUUUCCUCAGAGCAAAGAUGGAAUUCAGAGGUGGAACAACAAACUAAUUCAUGAAGUUUUGUGACAAUGGCCUGACAGACCGAAAUUCUACAUUUCCAACUUUAUUUGCAGUCGCUGGUUAUUCUGGUCAUUUAAAGAGAUGCAAUCUGCUACUAGGACAGUAUAGGAGUAGCUGGUACCAAACGUGUGUGCAAAUCUAAAAAUGGACCUGAGAGCUCAAUAAAAAUUCUUGGCACGGCCCAGCUAUUUGGUUUGGCCUUUCUGUGCAGGUCUACUCCACUUCUUCCAACAGUGUUGUUGUAUCAUCAGAAUCCAAGUACAGUGGCAGUAAACCGCCUUGAGAGCAAAGUGGACUUGGGGCAAAGUCCCAGGAUGCUACAGCAAGGGUGUGGUGGGCACUGCCAGCUGAUGUAAACACACAGGCAUGGUGUGCUUGAUGAGCUCCUAUCUGACCUUGAAUCCAUAGCUGUGUGGGGAGAGCAACCAGCUGCUGAGCUCCAAGUGCAGAAGAUGCCAAAAUCCACAAAAAAGUGUGACAAUCCUCAACGAAAGUUGACUCAUCGGCAUACCACAAGGUUACUAAAAUGGCAUACUGUUGAGUUCUCCUCUAACACGGCAUCUUGGAAGUGUACGGGCUGGUUUCUGCUGUGUUUUUCCUUCAAGGAUGGAGCCAAAGGGUUACUCAGACUGUAGCCUAACUGGCCUAGGAAGCAGCAAGUACACAGUACAUUUAAAAUGUUGGAUACAUUUAUCUCUUGGUCUGUUCCUGGGUGGCAGCCCUCUGACCAUCUGCCCUCUGUGCCUCUUGGCCUGGGCACCAGGGAUGGCAUCCUGCUGUAGGUGCUGCUGGGGAUGUGCACAAGGCUACCUAGGAAAGCUGAAAACUGUCCCAGCAGAAAUGGCAGAGAACUAACGCCAUUAGUCCUCCCUAUGGCACAGAAAAAAUAGAUAACAGCUUUGGGCAUUGAUUUUGCUGAGCUCAGAGUGAUUUUGGCUUCUGCAUCUGACGCAUAAGUAAUGAGGAAAGCUGUGAGCAUACUCCCUUACACGUUAUCCUUGCUGAAGGCUGCAGCGUGCUGGAUUAUUUUGUUCCCUGUGUUUUUCCAUGAGCCUUUCAGUACCAGAAUGCAGCACUGAAGCUUCAGCAGAUCCAUAUUUCGAUCUGCUCGUAAACUGUUCUGAGAGCAUAAGGUCAUCUUCACGCAAACUAGCUUGCUCAUCCUUAACAAAGUCUUAAAGGACUUUGCUUCUUGUCCCCAACUCCCUUACCUUGGAUUCUGACUGCCCCUGCUUGUUUAUUCAGUUCUGAAUAGUUGCUACUGACCAACGGCCAGGUCUUGCAAGCACUGUUGUUUUGCUGUGCUCAGAAGAUGAACAUGGAAGGUUAUGACAUCAGCAAAUAGGUGGAAGAAGCGGGAGAAGAAAAUACAAGUUUAGUUUUUUGCAGCAUCUUGGAUUGGACUUUGGCAUAGGAAGACAAAAUGCCCAGAAGGCUUUGUCUCUCCUAUCCAGGCCUCCUGACCGCUACUUCUCUCAUCAAACAGACUUAACCCCUUCCUGUCUAUUGCCUGUCUUGUCUGGGAAGGCCACUCACCAGUGUAACAGUGGAUCAACCUUCAAAAGCUGAACCAUCCUGUGUACAAUUGCAGCACUAUACAGCUACCAUGGAAGAGUAUUUUGAGUAUUUUGUGAUUCAUCUGCGGUGUGCUUGUUGGUAAUUCUCAUCUGAAUGAUGUUUUAUGCCUCAUUUUCCAGUCUGCUUUUGUUUUCAAGAAAAUAUAAACACUUUGUGCCAUCACAUCUCCUUCCGCAGCAGUACUGGUGGGAUUUCACCAUGGGCAUCUGCCACGUCUCUUCUGUACUCCUCACUGCUCUGCCUCUGACCUUGGAGAAAAUAAGCCCUCCUGGUAUCCUUUGCCAAUAAAAAAAAUCAUUUCUGUUUUAAUUUGCCUAUCAGGCUGUUCUGCUCUCCAUCCCAGUGCUGGCUUUAC
Molecule: long non-coding RNA, 2727 nt
Organism: Gallus gallus (chicken)
Lineage: Eukaryota; Metazoa; Chordata; Aves; Galliformes; Phasianidae
Exons: 3
Source: RefSeq, a predicted model, not a curated record